Molecule: ribosomal RNA, 696 nt
Filed under: Callyspongia plicifera (azure vase sponge)
Lineage: Eukaryota; Metazoa; Porifera; Demospongiae; Haplosclerida; Callyspongiidae
Description: partial 16S ribosomal RNA
Rfam family: Bacterial large subunit ribosomal RNA
Source: RNAcentral
AAACAUAGCUUUCAGCAAAGGGCCGGGGGCCUGAAGUAUUGGAGGUGAUGCCUGCCCAAUGAUUGUAUCUAAACCCAAGUAAUAACAUAGGUUAAUUGGUUAAGGGCAAUUAAAUGGCCGCGGUAAAACUGACCGUGAUAAUGUAGCGCAAUCAAUAGCCAAUUAAUUGUUGGCAAGUAUGAAUGGCUUAACGAAUGCCCCACUGUCUCAAGAUAAAAACCAGUGAAAUUGAAUUCGUAGUGAAGAUGCUACGUACAAGUUGUUAGACGAGAAGACCCUAUUGAGCUUUACUGGGGACUUCCAUUGUUUUUUUUGAAUUAUAUUAGGUGGGAUUAAUCACUAUUUAAUUUUUUAAGAACUAAAAUUAUCUAGAUUAAAGAUGUAAGUUGGACAGUUUGGUUGGGGCGACCGCCUUCUAAACAGUAACGAAGGCGUACAUAAGGUAAUAUAUAAUAGAAUAAAGUAAAGGCCUGACAGCAAGGAGGACCUACUGAGCUGACACGGUAUCGUGGGUUAUAAUGAUCCGUUGGUUUAGGGUGGGAUAGCUAACGAGCAACGAAUAAAAGUUACCAUAGGGAUAACAGCGUAAUAUCGUUUGAGAGUUCAUAUCGAUGACGAUGUUUGCGACCUCGAUGUUGAAUUGUGGUUUCCUGGAGGUGCAGCAGCUUCCAAGGGUUGGACUGUUCGUCCAUUAAA